AUGUGCUUCCGGUCUCCCAUACCGCAGGAGGGCGGUCUUCCCCGGGUCGCCAACUCGGCUGCUCUGGGGGAUUCGUGCGCGGUGUGUUUCCAUUGUAGAAAACCUGGUCAUGGAAUUGCAGAUUGCCCCGCCGCCCUUGAAAAUCAAGACAUGGGCACUGGGAUAUGUUACAGGUGUGGGUCCACAGAGCACGAAAUAACCAAGUGUAAGGCUAAAGUAGACCCGGCUCUUGGCGAAUUUCCUUUUGCAAAAUGUUUUGUUUGUGGAGAAAUGGGGCACCUGUCUAGAUCUUGUCCUGAUAAUCCCAAAGGACUCUAUGCUGAUGGUGGCGGUUGCAAACUUUGUGGCUCUGUGGAACAUUUAAAGAAAGAUUGCCCUGAAAGUCAGAAUUCAGAGCGAAUGGUCACAGUUGGUCGCUGGGCAAAGGGAAUGAGUGCAGACUAUGAAGAAAUUUUGGAUGUACCUAAACCGCAAAAACCCAAAACAAAAAUACCUAAAGUUGUUAAUUUUUGAUAACAGCUAGCACUAUCAUGAGUUACCACCUCAUUGUUACUUUCUAAACCAGGCCCGCUUCACGAGUUAGAGUUGAGCUCCCCUGUAGCCAGGACUAUGCUGUAGAUAUCAGUAUGAUCUGGGUGUGGCCAAAAACAAUUUUCUUUAUUCUGUCUAUCAAAUAGUACUUCUACCACUGUUUGGAGAAAAUUGAAGAAAAAAAUAAGAUGAUUAAAUGAAUUCUCUAAAAGAACAUAUUUUAAGAGACAGAACUUA
RNAcentral lists this small RNA (768 nucleotides) under Pan troglodytes (chimpanzee). RNAcentral describes it as "processed transcript". Lineage: Eukaryota; Metazoa; Chordata; Mammalia; Primates; Hominidae. The record is from RNAcentral.